Molecule: transfer RNA, 69 nt
Filed under: Coturnix coturnix (Common quail)
Lineage: Eukaryota; Metazoa; Chordata; Aves; Galliformes; Phasianidae
Description: tRNA-Ala
Rfam family: tRNA
About the family: Transfer RNA (tRNA) molecules are approximately 80 nucleotides in length. Their secondary structure includes four short double-helical elements and three loops (D, anti-codon, and T loops). Further hydrogen bonds mediate the characteristic L-shaped molecular structure. tRNAs have two regions of fundamental functional importance: the anti-codon, which is responsible for specific mRNA codon recognition, and the 3' end, to which the tRNAs corresponding amino acid is attached (by aminoacyl-tRNA synthetases). tRNAs cope with the degeneracy of the genetic code in two manners: having more than one tRNA (with a specific anti-codon) for a particular amino acid; and 'wobble' base-pairing, i.e. permitting non-standard base-pairing at the 3rd anti-codon position.
Source: RNAcentral
GAGGUCUUAGCUUAAUUAAAGUGUCUGGUUUGCAUUCAGAAGAUACAGGUUAGUACCUUGUAGACCUUA